UUUUCAGCAGCCGCGGUAAGACGAACCGUGCGAACGUUGUUCGGAAUCACUGGGCUUAAAGGGCGCGUAGGCGGUCGGGCAAGUCCGGGGUGAAAUCCUGCAGCUUAACUGUAGAAGUGCCUUGGAUACUGCUCGGCUCGAGGGAGGUAGGGGUCUGUGGAACUUCUGGUGGAGCGGUGAAAUGCGUUGAUAUCAGAAGGAACGCCGGUGGCGAAAGCGACAGACUGGACCUCUUCUAACGCUGAGGCGCGAAAGCUAGGGGAGCAAACGGGAUUAGAAACCCGGGUAGUCC
This 292-nucleotide ribosomal RNA is filed under the name uncultured bacterium. RNAcentral's name for it is "partial 16S ribosomal RNA". It matches the Rfam family "Bacterial small subunit ribosomal RNA", at positions 505 to 796 of the family's 1533-position model. The record is from RNAcentral.